This 247-nucleotide ribosomal RNA is filed under the name uncultured bacterium. Its description in RNAcentral is "partial 16S ribosomal RNA". It matches the Rfam family "Bacterial small subunit ribosomal RNA", at positions 796 to 1041 of the family's 1533-position model. The record is from RNAcentral.
CACGCAGUAAACGAUGAUUACUAGGAGUUUGCGAUAGACAGUAAGCUCCCGAGCGAAAGCGUUAAGUAAUCCACCUGGGGAGUACGCCGGCAACGGUGAAACUCAAAGGAAUUGACGGGGGCCCGCACAAGCGGUGGAGCAUGUGGUUUAAUUCGAAGCAACGCGCAGAACCUUACCAACCCUUGACAUCGGGAUCGCGGAUUACAGAGAUGUUUUCCUUCAGUUCGGCUGGAUCCCAGACAGGUGC